GACAUUGAACAAUCAAUUAGUUUUUUUUUUUUAUUCCACUGAUUUAUGUAAAAUUUAAAAAUUAUAAUUAAUUAAUAUUUGAAAUCCUAGUUCUAAAAUUCAUUGUAGAGUAAUGAAGGUUGAAGAUGAAUUGAAACACAGACUCAUUGCAGAGUGCAGAGCAGUAGAGAAAGUUCAAGUUCCAGCAAGCUUUAACUAUGUAAAUGUGGAGUCACAGCACUCAUUUGGACUACAAUGACAGAUGGAAACAAUGGAAAGAAAUUUCACAGCUCUGGUCGACUAAUAGGUAUAGUAUGGAAGAGAAGAGAUGCAUCUUCUUUCAAUUGGUUGACGACGGAACGCCUUGUAGUAGAUAUAAAAGAAUAUUUAACAAUUUGAAUGAGAAGAUAAAAGGUUGUGAGGAUGAAAUUGAGGGCUAUAAGGAUUCAAUUGAGCUGGGGAGGUUGAAUUGAUGACAGUGGUAAAGCAAACUCGGAUGCUUAUCAGGCUUUUGGAGAAUGAUCUAAGAAUUGAAAAUGAAGUGAAGCACUUGCUUGAAUAAGAGACAACUCUAAAGCAAUUGGUGGAAUACAUGCAAUAUGCAAUGAGGCUCAGAAGACAGAGUAAUGAAGGUUGAAGAUGAAUUGAAACACAGACUCAUUGCAGAGUGCAGAGCAGUAGAGAAAGUUCAAGUUCCAGCAAGCUUUAACUAUGUAAAUGUGGAGUCACAGCACUCAUUUGGACUACAAUGACAGAUGGAAACAAUGGAAAGAAAUUUCACAGCUCUGGUCGACUAAUAGGUAUAGUAUGGAAGAGAAGAGAUGCAUCUUCUUUCAAUUGGUUGACGACGGAACGCCUUGUAGUAGAUAUAAAAGAAUAUUUAACAAUUUGAAUGAGAAGAUAAAAGGUUGUGAGGAUGAAAUUGAGGGCUAUAAGGAUUCAAUUGAGCUGGGGAGGUUGAAUUGAUGACAGUGGUAAAGCAAACUCGGAUGCUUAUCAGGCUUUUGGAGAAUGAUCUAAGAAUUGAAAAUGAAGUGAAGCACUUGCUUGAAUAAGAGACAACUCUAAAGCAAUUGGUGGAAUACAUGCAAUAUGCAAUGAGGCUCAGAAGACAGGUAUAGAUUUUGUAUUUGUAGUAGUUAGUAAGUUAUCUUCAUUAUGCACAGAAGGUGUUUGUAAAAAUGUCUGUGUUAAGUGAAUUGGCACAAAAUUGCCCAUGACUAUGUUAUCUGUGUAAUUCUGCUUGAUAUGAUGAAAUGGAAUGUUUAUGUUAUGUUAUUAAAAUAAUUGACUCAUGAUAAAUGCAUAAUCAGCUGUACAAAAGCAAUUCAUGCUCUCAAUCUAUCAUGUAUUCUUCUGUA
Long non-coding RNA from Hevea brasiliensis (rubber tree), 1340 nucleotides. RefSeq lists it as uncharacterized. The transcript has 2 exons. The record is from RefSeq and is a predicted model, not a curated record. Lineage: Eukaryota; Viridiplantae; Streptophyta; Magnoliopsida; Malpighiales; Euphorbiaceae.